Molecule: long non-coding RNA, 517 nt
Organism: Hyla sarda
Lineage: Eukaryota; Metazoa; Chordata; Amphibia; Anura; Hylidae
Exons: 4
Source: RefSeq, a predicted model, not a curated record
CAAAUAGGGUAAGUCAAAAAUGGAAAAACACAUUGACCACCGGAGUACCCCUUUAAGGACAACAUAUGUGUGAAUGAUCUAAACCCCCUAGUGUAUGAACAACCUGCACCAUAACAAGUACAUACUCAGUACUUAGGUCUGGAUGAUGUGAAUAGAGCACCAAAUGGCUGUUACCUUUUUACCCUGGAAUUAUUUUAUGCCUUCUUGCCUUACACCCUACGAUAUAGAAUUGUUAUGCAGCUAAAUGUAUCACCAUUAUGUACGCUGUAUUCAAGGACUUGAAUAUUGUGCAGACAUUGCAGAAGUUGUCAUUGGCAACAAAAAGACAUAAAGGUUCAGCAAGAUCUCAAAGCAACUGUGAAUAUAGACUUUGCUAAAGGUUGAGGUGGACUUCUAGAAUCUUGAUCUUGAAGACUUUGCUCUUGUCUCCUGGGUGAUUGUAUAAAUUGCCUGAAUUACCCACAGCAUAAUAUAUGCUGAUAAUUUUCCUUAAUAAACUAAGAAAUCCAGAUGAACA